Cyprinus carpio (common carp) is the source of this 1172-nucleotide long non-coding RNA. The record is from Ensembl. NCBI's taxonomy places the organism in Eukaryota, Metazoa, Chordata, Actinopteri, Cypriniformes, Cyprinidae.
UGGUGAUUUAUGGAAAUAAACCAAACACCAAACAUAUAUCUUUGAAUUACCUUGACUUUUUUUUUUAGCAUAUAAUAAAGGGGUCAUGAUGAACUGAGAAAUCAAAAUUUCUUUGAUCUUUUGAUCAAGAGGUCAUUUAACAAUAAAAACAUCCUGUAAGUUUCAGAACUCAAAACUUUCUUGUUGGUCUAAAAACAGCUUAUAUUGAAACUAAUCUGCCAAAGCGACAGCUUGUGGAAUGUGCCACUCUAUGAUGUAAUAGUGUGGCUAAACACUGCCUCUGCAGAAGAAGAUCAACACCUGCUUCUACAGCACUGCCUGUUUAGCCCCACCCACCGAUUCACAUACAUAGUGUGUAAAAGAGAAUAGAGGUAAACGCUGGUCUACACAGAAAUUAAACGAUAAAGAUGGCUCACAAGAUAAGAUGCUGUGCAGUGCCAAAUUGUGGAAAAACAGCCUUUGCAUUGCUUUCUAUCUGAUCCUAACAUAUAAUGUUUUAUUAACAAGGUUCAGGAGGAGCGCGUCAGAUUCUUAGCCUAAUCAACACUGGUGGAGCACAAUCAAGUUAAUCAACACCAUAGUAUAAAUACAGCUGACUUACCUCUAUCCAUUAACGGUUUAUCAGAAUCCCUCCUCCACCCCAUCUCCUCACUUCCAGUUCAUUUUGCACUUAUACGGGGAGGGGGGUACUCUAGGUUCGGGCCAUUCCCGAGCUCGGAGCCCUUCCCCGGACAUCACGCCAAAUACGCAUUAUCAUACUUCAGCUAAUUAUAUGUAAGCGUGAACUCGCGAAUAGGAUUAACUUUAUUUUUAAUGAAGUUCCAUACCGCAUCAGUAAGAACUUGGUCUUUUGUUCACUUCAUUUUAUCAUGGAUUCAUUUACAAAUAACACACAAUUCUAUUCAGGAUUUUCAGAAAGAUUGAAAUGGAAAGACAAUGCUGUGUGGACUAUAUUUUACUGACAGUAAUGCCGCAACACACAAGUCGUCCAUUGAGGAAGGAUAUGAGUUAUCAAACAUACAAUUUACUUCUGAUGAGGGGGGCUAAAAACAGGACAGAAAAUAGCCUAAUACUUCUAAAUUAUGUUUUUUGAUGUAGAAAACAUUAUAAGUGGACAUCAGAGAACAGUACAAAAUAAUAAAAAGGCAGUUCAUGACCCCUUUAAUAUAUAG